RNAcentral lists this ribosomal RNA (449 nucleotides) under uncultured bacterium. RNAcentral describes it as "bacterial SSU rRNA". It matches the Rfam family "Bacterial small subunit ribosomal RNA", at positions 29 to 524 of the family's 1533-position model. The record is from RNAcentral.
AACGAACGCUGGCGGCAUGCCUAACACAUGCAAGUCGAACGAGACCUUCGGGUCUAGUGGCGCACGGGUGCGUAACGCGUGGGAACCUGCCUUUAGGUUCGGAAUAACUCAGAGAAAUUUGAGCUAAUACCGGAUAAUGUCUUCGGACCAAAGAUUUAUCGCCUUUAGAUGGGCCCGCGUAAGAUUAGCUAGUUGGUGGGUAAAGGCCUACCAAGGCGACGAUCUUUAGCUGGUCUGAGAGGAUGAUCAGCCACACUGGGACUGAGACACGGCCCAGACUCCUACGGGAGGCAGCAGUGGGAAUAUUGGACAAUGGGCGAAAGCCUGAUCCAGCAAUGCCGCGUGAGUGAUGAAGGCCUUAGGGUUGUAAAAGCUCUUUUACCCGAGAUGAUAAUGACAGUAUCGGGAGAAUAAGCUCCGGCUAACUCCGUGCCAGCAGCCGCGGUAAU